RNAcentral lists this ribosomal RNA (1414 nucleotides) under uncultured bacterium. RNAcentral describes it as "partial 16S ribosomal RNA". It matches the Rfam family "Bacterial small subunit ribosomal RNA". The record is from RNAcentral.
AACACAUGCAAGUCGAGCGAGAAGCUAUCUAUGACCCUUCGGGGGAUUAGACUAGUGGACAGCGGCGGACGGGUGAGUAACGCGUAAAUAACCUGCCAUACACACAAGGAUAGCCAUCGGAAACGGUGAUUAAUACUUGAUGAGGCUACAGAUUCGCAUGAAUCAGUAGUUAAAGAAUUUUGGUGUAUGAUGGAUUUGCGUUUGAUUAGCUAGUUGGUAAGGUAAUGGCUUACCAAGGCAAUGAUCAAUAGCCGGCCUGAGAGGGUGAACGGCCACACUGGAACUGAGACACGGUCCAGACUCCUACGGGAGGCAGCAGUGGGGAAUAUUGCACAAUGGAGGAAACUCUGAUGCAGCAACGCCGCGUGAACGAAGAAGGCUUUCGAGUCGUAAAGUUCUGUUAUAGGGGAAGAAGAAGUGACGGUACCCUAUGAGAAAGCCACGGCUAAUUACGUGCCAGCAGCCGCGGUAAUACGUAAGUGGCAAGCGUUAUCCGGAAUUACUGGGCAUAAAGAGUUCGUAGGCGGUUAAUCAAGCCAGCUAGUGAAAACCAUCGGCCUAACCGAUGUCAGCUAAUGGAACUGGUUAACUUGAGUACAGGAGAGGAAAGUGGAAUUCCUAGUGUAGUAGUGAAAUGCGUAGAUAUUAGGAAGAACAUCAGUAGCGAAGGCGACUUUCUGGACUGUAACUGACGCUGAGGAACGAAAGCGUGGGGAGCGAACAGGAUUAGAUACCCUGGUAGUCCACGCCGUAAACGAUGGAUACUUGGUGUUGGAGGCUCGAAUCCUUCAGUGCCGGAGUUAACGCAUUAAGUGUCCCGCCUGGGGAAUACGGUCGCAAGACUGAAACUCAAAGGAAUUGGCGGGGGCCCGCACAAGCGGUGGAGCAUGUGGUUUAAUUCGAUGCAACGCGAAGAACCUUACCGAGAAUUGACAUCCCGUGACUACCUGUGAGAGCAGGGUUUAGUGUUUACACUACACGGAGACAGGUGGUGCAUGGCUGUCGUCAGCUCGUGUCGUGAGAUGUUGGGUUAAGUCCCGCAACGAGCGCAACCCUUAUCUUUAGUUGCCAUCAUUAAGUUGGGCACUCUAGAGAGACUGCCGGUGUCAAACCGGAGGAAGGUGGGGAUGACGUCAAGUCCUCAUGGCCUUUAUGACCAGGGCUACACACGUACUACAAUGGCAUGUACAAAGGGCAGCCACUUAGCGAUAAGGAGCGAAUCCCGUAAAACAUGUCUCAGUCCGGAUUGGAGUCUGCAACUCGACUCCAUGAAGUUGGAAUCGCUAGUAAUCGUGGAUCAGCAUGCCACGGUGAAUACGUUCCCGGGCCUUGUACACACCGCCCGUCACACCACGGAAGUUGGUUGUACCAGAAGCAGUUGAGCGAACCUUCGGGUAGCAGGCUGCCCAAGGUA